Molecule: non-coding RNA, 72 nt
Organism: Phrynosoma platyrhinos (Desert horned lizard)
Lineage: Eukaryota; Metazoa; Chordata; Lepidosauria; Squamata; Phrynosomatidae
Source: the annotation of a GenBank genome assembly
ACCAGUGUGGUGUAAUGGUCUGAGCAUUGGACUAUAAUUCUGGAGAACAGGGGUCGAAUCCCUGCUCUGCCA